RNAcentral lists this non-coding RNA (30 nucleotides) under Cricetulus griseus (Chinese hamster). Lineage: Eukaryota; Metazoa; Chordata; Mammalia; Rodentia; Cricetidae. The record is from RNAcentral.
UAUGGCUCAAGUGGAUUCUGUUCUUUUUAG